CGGCGGCUAUACUUAAGUCGAGCGAAUUGAUGCGAGCUUGCUCCCUGAUAUUAGCGGCGGACGGGUGAGUAACACGUGGGCAACCUGCCCUGCAGAUGGGGAUAACUCCGGGAAACCGGGGCUAAUACCGAAUAAUCGGUUCUUCCGCAUGGAAGAACUCUGAAAGACGGUUUCGGCUGUCACUGCAGGAUGGGCCCGCGGCGCAUUAGCUAGUUGGUGGGGUAACGGCCUACCAAGGCGACGAUGCGUAGCCGACCUGAGAGGGUGAUCGGCCACACUAGGACUGAGACACGGCCCAGACUCCUACGGGAGGCAGCAGUAGGGAAUCUUCCACAAUGGACGAAAGUCUGAUGGAGCAACGCCGCGUGAGCGAAGAAGGUUUUCGGAUCGUAAAGCUCUGUUGCGAGGGAAGAACAAGUACGGGAGUAACUGCCCGUACCUUGACGGUACCUCGUUAGAAAGCCACGGCUAACUACGUGCCAGCAGCCGCGGUAAUACG
Molecule: ribosomal RNA, 499 nt
Filed under: uncultured Sporosarcina sp.
Lineage: Bacteria; Bacillati; Bacillota; Bacilli; Caryophanales; Caryophanaceae
Description: bacterial SSU rRNA
Rfam family: Bacterial small subunit ribosomal RNA
Source: RNAcentral